GCCCGCUUGGCAUAGUGGUACUGCGUUUCACUCGUACGAUUUAUGAAUAUGAAAAGAUCCUCGGUUCGAUUCCGAGAGUGGGCA
Molecule: non-coding RNA, 84 nt
Organism: Lepraria neglecta
Lineage: Eukaryota; Fungi; Ascomycota; Lecanoromycetes; Lecanorales; Stereocaulaceae
Source: the annotation of a GenBank genome assembly